GAUAGAUAGAUAGAUAGAUAGAUAGAUAGAUAGAUAGAUAGAUAGAUAGAUAGAUAGAUAGAUAAAAUUAUGUUUAAUUCCAAGUAGUAAAUUAUACAAGACACUUUCAAACUAUUGCAUGCUAUCUUGUAUAUAAAACAGUUAUAGUCAUAUCAGUGUAUAAAUUCUAUGUAUCUGUAUACUGCUGUGUACAGUGUUCAGCUGUGCUGCAAAAACUAUGAGCUGCAAAGUUCCAGCCAAUGAACACACAAUCACAUACAGAUACACGUACACAGGAAAACAUAACACGUGUUUUCUGUUUAAGGUAUGAUACUUUAUAAUGAACUAGUUAAAGGUUUACUGUGCCACCCCUCAUGAAUUUGUUGCUCAUUUCCACCUUGGAAAAAUUACCGUGUCAGCUUGCUCAAUUUAGAGAUAUAUUCUGUGCAAAGGUUCUAGUAUAUAGUAGGUGCUGACUCCCGAAACAGGCACCUGAGGGUUUGGCCUGCCUUCUUAAAGCACACAGAAAAUAAUUCUCUUUAAUGGCAACAAUAUUGCAAAGAGGAAGGAGGCCACUAUAACAUUGCACACUUGCUGGUGCUGAAAAAGGGCUGUCGACCACUCUCGAGAGCCAGGGAGCGUAAUUUUGCUUGUGUUGUUAGAGCGAGUGCAACACCAUCUAAGGUAUCUUGAAGCAACAUUGUCUUGUAAGAAGUACUGCAGUUACUGCACAGAAUACUUGCAAGCAUAAUUCACUACUUCUGGGUGCUCUAAAAGUGUUUUUUCUGGUUGAUGGGUGAAAAUGACCACUUGAUGUUUGGUUAAAAUCAAAAGACUUCUGGCAACACCUGUUGUACAUGGCACAGACUGUGCAGGAUGCUUGUUUUAGUCCUUAACUGCAGCCUCUGAACUGAAAGUUUUUGGCUCCUGGUUAAUGAAUUUCACACACAAAAAUAUAAACUAAACGUGCAUUUCCUUGCUGGAGAAAUGUGAAAACUGGUAGGAGGUUCAUUCAGACAACUAAUGAGGUUUGCAUUUGUUAUCAAAGCAUUCCCAUGUGGCUUUUAACAUUUUUAUUUAAAAGCGUUUACCUUCAUAUUGUUUUCUGCAGGUUCUCUGAGGUCCAACUCCUGCUGAAAUAUGUUAUUUCAUCAUAGCCAUCAACAUGUCAGCUUCUGUUGACAUGUACUUUUUUUAAGAAGUAGUGACACAUAUUUUCAAAGUUGAAGUAACUCGGCCACCCGCUUCUUGCAAGGAGUGAAAUUUGCUGACUUCAUGUAGCAGCAAGGCCAGGUGUGAUGAUGUUAUUCAUAAAAAAAAUUAGCAGAGCACUGCAUGUUUUCUUUUUUCUGUCUGCAUUUCUGCGUGGCAGCCACAGCCACUACAAGAGAUGGGCAAAUUAUUGUGCAUCAUGAUGUCGUGAUGCAGCCACAUUUCUGGAUAUAGUGAAACUGAACCUAGUUUGUGAAGGCAAGUGUUAUAAUCAAUUUUUUGCGAUUCUCUGGCACUUGCCAGUGUAUUGGCACAUGAGUUAACAGCAUAAUUUGUAUCAUGCAGUAUUGUCGUUGGCCUGCUUGUGAUCUUUGCCGCUCACUGCAGAAGAUGGGGGCGACAAAGUGAAUCGAGUGUCGACAAAGACAAGGACGUGUUGUCGGUGAAACCCUGAAACUCUGCGAUUCCUGUAGAUUAACUUUAGUAAUUGUUGCCAUAGUUAAACGUGACAACAAGGUAUAGAGGGUUUGGGCCUUCAUAUAAUGCAAAAAAAAUAAUAAUAAUAAUAAUAAGCCAAGUAUAUUAUAUAUCAAUUUAUUAAUAUAAGUUAUUGUAGCUUAUCUACAAAUAUGGCUGAACUUUCUCUACCAUACAUCUUUUUAUAUAAUAAUAGUAUUCUAAUUACCUUGAAUAGUGUCGGUUUGGUACUUCUAGAAGCCAGGCACUUGACACAACAUUGCAUAAAAUGUAGGCAAUGGAGGCACCAUUUUUUGUGGUUAUAGGGUUUCUAAGAAACAUAGCAGUUCAGUGUAUGUCAUCCUGUGCUCAUCAAGUCAUGAUAAAUGCAUUUUUGCCUUCAGAUCUAUCAUGUCCCAGCCCUCUGCUUACAUCAAGAGGGUAUUCUGUAAGUGUCCACCUAGUGGACAUGUCCGCUACAUGCCAGAGUGCUCAUCGGCUGGGGGCGCCUGUCUCCUUCCGAUGCAUAUUCCAGACGAGCUAGUCAGAACUUCAGCAGUGCGUAUCCACACUCUCAUAUGUAGUUGGCGGUUGCUUUUGGUUUACAGUUUAAGAAGUCGUAAACACUGUUAAUAGCUAGUAGAUCUUAAACGCUUCAUAACAUUCCGAGUCGAUUACCCAUUAUGCGCACAGUAUUCAAAGCAAGGGAAUGCAAUCAAUAUUCUUAUCUUUUUGCACUCCACAUAUGCUGUUGCUAAUGCCAAUAUAUAUAUAUAUAUAUAUAUAUAUAUAUAGUGCUGGCAGUUACUUGAUAAUGUUCAAGUGAAUGAAACAUUUAUAAUAGCUCUUAUAUAACCCAAUUAGCUUGGAGUAGCGGAGCAAACCCCGAAGUGUUUUAAAAUGUAGUUGCAUUCAAAUGAAUCUCAAUAAUAGGCUAGGCACCACGUCAGAGCAGUCAUGUGUUUUAUUGUGUCAUGUCUAAAGCAAGAAAAGGAAUGUUUGCUUCCAUCAAUUUUCCACUUUUUUUUUAAAUAUAGAACAAAGUCCUUGCAGUGUAAUAAUGCUGGAGACAUUUAUUCUCACAAUACUAGGUUGUUCGUUGUGUCGACAAGGUGUAUUAUUGCACAAUAGCAAACAAUUUUCGUGAUCCUCCCAUGAAGUUCCGCUUCUGGUGCCAUUAAACAUUUUUCUUUCGCUGAUUCUCUGUUGUCACCCAGUCAGUUCUGUCAAACUGGGUGUGAUAGGCAGCAAAAAAAUGGCGUUCUAGUUUUUUUCAACGUGCCUAAUGUGUUUUCUUUUUUCUUGCAGGUCUGUACGAUCCAGAAACAGAAUUGCGAAGAUCUUCAUUACAGAGCACAUAGUUGUUAGCACGCUAUUACAGAACCAGAUCAAAGAUAAAUGAUACUACACACGUUACAGGCCUGACAGAAAUUAUCUUUAUUUGAAAAGUUUGCUGAAGAGAAAUGUACAAACUUUCUUCAAGUUACCCUUUUUUUAGUUCGUCUCCUAGAGAGUUGUAUACCAGUCAAAAAACAAAGCAAAUGAAAACAUAUCUCUUUUAACCUUAUGAUCACAGUCAGUUUCUCAUUUCAUGAACUCAUUACAAAAAUUGCAACGCAAAUGUUCUAUGCAUAAAAUCAUGCUUUGUAAUGCGAGAUGUAGCUGCAGCACUGGUGACCUUGACUUUAUGUCAUGUUGGCCAUGCCAUAUGUUUCUGUAGGUAAUUAUGAAACCAUCAUUUAGACCAAAUAUUGCAUGGUGCUUAAUUUUAUGGCUGGUUGGCUCUUGCUGUAGUCGCAAAUAGAGAAUUAAAGAACUCAUAACCAUAGUAUUUGACAAAAAAAUAAGUUGGAUAUCUUGAUGAUGAACUGAAAAGGGAAGUGCUAAAGUUUAUUUUGACAUAAUUUCCCAUGUGUGUCAUACAGUCUCUGCCAAAUGUACCAGGGACAUACAAUGUCAGACUGGCGAAGUUGAAGAAAAUCACUGUGAAGCAAAGCAUAGAUAAAUGGGAAGGAAGCAGCUAAUUGAAGAGAAGCAAGAUUGGUUAUUUCUGUUUGCAUUGAUUGACAGUUGUGUGAUGUAAGUUACUUUAUUGAAAGUUACUUUAUCAUGUCUUGCACAUUGUGUAAAGCCUUUCUUAGAUUGAUGUGUUGUGGCUUUUUGUACCUUUUAGGUACAGGACUGCAGAUGAUGUACUUGUCUGUGCUGUUUCAAGUUCAAGAAGCGUUUGCUUGAACAAGAAACCACUGCUCAUCUUCGCAUUUGGCCUGCUGAUGUAGCAACAUUUGCAAGAUGCAAGGGGCUGAAACAACGAGUGGAUGCUUGGAGUACCAGGAAAAGAUGGAGAUUGAAAUUACUGUAUCUGGAGAACAGCUGUCACAUUUAGACUGCCCAGUGUUUGCUGCAGAGCGUGGAACUUUCACUGGUGAACUGCAAUGUGGAGCAAAUUGUCAUGCUAAUGAUAAUUGAGUGUUUCUGUCAGAGACCGUCGCCCUUCUAGAAGACGGUGUUUUAUGUACUUGUGGUGUUUAUGGGUGAAAUGGAGUAACUGAGCACAGGGGUGACCUAUUUCAUCGCCAGAAAGUGCUAGGUGAGAUGGAUGAGAAAUUCUGCAGCGACGCACUUAACAACAAAGUGUGGGCAUCUGACCUAUGCAUUGUCCAGUUCAGUUCCUUGCUGCUGGCUUACUCAUCGUCCCUCACGGUGCCAUUUAGUGCAGCAGAGCCAACUUAGUGAACGAGAACCAACUUUUACCACUGUGAUUUAAUCAAAAUCAGGUGUCUUGAAAAUAGCUGCUGGCAUGUAUUUUUGCUAGGGAAGUUUGCCUGUGGCUCAUAAUGUCAUUGUUCUUAUCAAAGUUGCCGACAUUGCAGCCUAGGUUUGAAAGGGAGGCCAGGCCACUGGGUAGCUUUGCACUGGUAGCCCAUUUGCCAGUCUACUCCAAGUCUCAGUGAAUGUGUUUGUGUAGUCGCUAAUUUAUUAUGCUCACUUUUCAGCAGCUGGCCUGUUGUGGGAAAACUGUAGAAAAGCUCAUGUCCCAACUGUGCAUUUAGUGAAGUUACAAGUGAUAAAAUUAAAAAAAAAACAAAAAAACAUAGGCUCUCUUCCACUGUUCUCGUUCACUGUGACAUUUAGAAAGCAAUCACUGGUGGUUUGGUUAAACAUUUCUGCCAACUUAGAUGAUUCAUUUUGAGAACUGUCGAACAUUGCCUAGCUCAGAUAUGUUGCGAUUAUCUCUGUGACAGUUACUGCCACACUCUAAAGAGUUUCUCUUCUUGACUCGAUUCAACAAAGCGGAUAUGGCGAUGCCACCCUCGAGUGGAGUGGCCACUGUGCUUUGACGAGACUCCACGAUGAUUGCCGAGUAAAAAUUUCAUAACUUGGCAUUCAAGGUCUAUUCGAAUGCACUUGAGUGUUUCCAAUUCGUCUCAUUGUAAGGUUCACCUAGGGGAAUCAUUUAAGUGCUAUGUCUUCGACAGUUGAGGAAAAGCGCUGUGUGUGUCACAUUCAUGUGGCGCAGUUAAAAAAUGAGGUUAAAGUUGAGGCUUGUUUGUGAAUAUUCGGGCUAACGUAUUACUUAGGCACUUGUCAGUCUGUUCCUUUAGCAAUGUGUUCAUUGUUUCAAUUUCUACUAGCCUCCGACAGUGUUUAGUAUUUCAAUUCUAAGGCCUCCAUUUACUUCGAUGAUGCCUGUAGCCAUGUAAUAUUGUGCAGGCUCAACCAGAAGCCAAUCUACUCUCUGCUGACCACUGCCGCUUUCUUGUUCAAAUGAUAGACAGCCCUGCAAAGCCAGCCGCAGCGUCCACUGCAGACCUGAUCAAGCGAGAGGGGAUCAGCUGCUCACUGUGUGGCACGGACCUGGUGACGGAAGACCAGUUGCGAGCACACCGUUGCAGUGAGAGGCCACUGCCCCGUGGACGGGGCCGCUAUGCAUGCCGCUACUGCCGCUUCGCCUGCAACGACCGGCUUGAACACAGUCUGCACCAGACACAGCACCUCAAGGACAGACCGUUCAGCUGUGGUGUGUGCGGCAAGGCGUUUGCACGCAACAGUGACCGCAACCGGCAUGUCAAGAUCCACACGGGGGUCCGGCCCUUCCAGUGCGACGUGUGCUCGCGCAAAUUCCGGCAGUCGUGGCACCUCCAGUAUCACCGCAGCACCCACACAGACUUCUGAUGCCGGCGACACAGAUUUCUGAUGUCACGAGUGAUGGCAUUUUGGCCAACAGAGAUCUGAGCUUCGUCGUGGGAUGUGUCUGCAACAGCCGAGCCUGCACAUCGUUCAGUGGUGUCUAGCAGCACAGCUGCGGCAACCAGUGACCAUCUGUCGUGCCUGCGUCCUAUGAGUCUCGUUGCUUCUUAAGAUCUCGCUUGCGACUCUUGCUUUGUCUGAGCCCCUGAAACGUCCAUUGUGUGCACCGAGGCUGUGCCCUUGCCAAGUGGGUGCUUGUGCGUCUCAUGAUACAGGGUCUUGCAUGUUGUGCACAUGGCCAAUAUGAAAUGUGGACCUUUUGUUGGAUGUUCCUUGCUUCUUUCUGUAUGGAAUGGAUGAGUAGCAUCAGUAGAUACGUUAGCUGUACUAACUAAAUAUUGCCACAAAUUUUGAAAGAUGCAUAGUGGUGGGCUGUACAUAAAUAGAACCAGCUUAAGUUGAUACCUGUGGCCUUUUCUAAAGUUGACUUUUUUUCAGCACUUUGUAUAAGAGUAAUGAAGCAACGUUUCAGUUAUUCACCAUGACAUCAUUUACUAAUUUGUAGGGGACGAUGAGAAACGUUCUUUAAAUCAAUUUAAACUAAACAACUUAUCAGGCCUAAUGAAAAAAUACUCAGUAGCAGCAUAUGGCUGAUUCCACUCAUGUAGCAUGUAGAGCCCUCCAUUAUAUUUAAAAACCUCUGCAACAUUUUAUUGGAACAGCUGCUGCGCAGUGCCUAACUGCUACUGCAGGGAUGCAUAGCUUUGUGACGUAACCAUCAACUCUGGCUUGCUAGAAGGGGAGCACGUUGGACUUGGAACAGAAUUCAUCCGUGUUUUAUCUUAGGCACCUGAAUUACCAGCUGGGAAACUAUGGCCUGCACUGUUGGACCAUUGGCACCGGAGUCUUGCACGCAUUGGUUGCUACACAUGCUCUGCUUUUUUGCAUGCGCAAACAUCAUACAAUUCUUCUUGUCAACAGUAACUCUCAGCAUAAGUCUGCCAAACAAAACUGCGAGCUUGUGUGUUUGUUACUGCUACGAUGAUACAAGACAGUUAUCCCUCGCAGGUAAUCAGGUCAAUGUGAAACUAAGUAUCAAGGAAGGCAGGCCACGUAUACCUACAAGAGGUUUCCGUGCCAAAAACUCAGCAUCUAAACUAAGGCUUUUUGUUACUUCUAAAUUAUGUGACGUUAAGUGUGCAGUGUUUUAAGAGUAAUGUUUGCCUGCACCCCAUGCAUGAAUUCAACAGACGAGCCGUGAAACCGUGUAGUGGCAAACUUGGUCAAAGUAGUUUUGUCCGACCUGUUCGUAACACUGUGAAGUCACUGAGUUGAAGUUAACUUACUGGCAAACUAUGGCAGCGUACUAAGUCAGCACACAUGGUACCAAAGAAUCAAAAUAUUUGCUGUAGGAGCUUGCCCUAUCACUGCCUUUUACAAGAAGCGUUAUCUCUCUAGCACAAUAUAAGAGACCAUGAAAAUGCAUUGUAACAUCCGACUCUGCAAACUUGAACUCUUCUGAACCUCUUCAGCGUGAGCAUAGAUUUGUUUUUCUUUAGGUGGGGAGUUGCGUCUUGUAGACAACUUCUUUAGAAAUCUUCAUUCUUCAAGUUAAGGCGCUGUAAACUUGUAGACAAAUGUAAUUUUAUAUGCCUAUUUCAAAUAUAUGGAAUCUAUAUUUGUUGAUAUCAUUUGUUCAUAAUGUGAUUGAAGUUUCAUUUACCUAAUAUAAUCUUCAAAAUUUGCAAGCGAUCAAUUAUUCAGAUUUGACUGGACAGGUUAUCAGUGGCUUCGGCACGAUUCAAGAAACACAGUAAGGCCAACCUUGUUGCUUUGGCUAACCUAGAACAAGAGUUGCAGGACUUGGAAGUUGACACUCGGAGUUCUGUUCUUCUUGGAAUUCUCUUUUGAAGCCUCACAACUCUUGCUGUCUUGCUUAAAGGUAAAAGAAAAUGUCAUAUAAUUUAAACCGAAUGAGGUAAACAAAAGUGGAGUUCAUAUUUGAAAUAAGGG
Non-coding RNA from Dermacentor andersoni, 7851 nucleotides. Lineage: Eukaryota; Metazoa; Arthropoda; Arachnida; Ixodida; Ixodidae. The record is from RefSeq and is a predicted model, not a curated record.